Molecule: long non-coding RNA, 1828 nt
Organism: Cyprinus carpio carpio
Lineage: Eukaryota; Metazoa; Chordata; Actinopteri; Cypriniformes; Cyprinidae
Source: Ensembl
GGGUCUUCUAAUUUUCAAAAGGCAGUCCAUCCUAAAAAGCUUCACGACAUCAGUGGGCGUUUUCUUAUCAGAGAGCGUGAGACAUUUUUACACAUUUCCCCUUGCUCAUUCAACCGCCUCUCAUUUACAGUAUCAUCAUGCGGACCGCUCUGCUUCUCGCGGUGUUCUCGUGCUUUUCUCUUAUCGAGGGAAAGCCAUUCGAAGCAAUUCACAGCUAUCCUGGAUGGAAAUUCAGCAUACUUUUCACAUCCCUUCAAAAACGUAACCCGUAAUGGAAUCAGUGUGACUUACUGUCCAUUUUCAGUCACAUUCCAUGCCUCUUGUCUUAAUUAUGUCAAUCACCUUACAUGUUCUUGCACCAAUUCCACCAGCAUCUAUCCAGUGUUUAGCACAACUCUGCCAUCUAGAGAUUCAUCCUCCACUGCAAUCAAAACUAAUUCUUCAGUGAGACAACACUUUCAGAAAUUCCUCACAAAACAGAAGAAUAACAGUAGUAAUAAUUAUCCUCAUUUCGAUGUUGGUCAAGGUUAUGGAAUCGCAGACUGCAAAAACAAUAUGUUGCCAUUGCUGUUGCUGCCAUUUUUGUCAUAACCCUUGUCAUUUUGGCUUUCCACUCUGCAAGCACAGCGAAAUAUGCUCCUGAAGAACAAAACCAGCCUGGUUCAGUAGAAUGAGCCUGAGGAGGCAACUGUAAUUGCCCUAGAAACAACACAUGGCGUGGAGUCAUAACAACACAUUAUCCUAUAAUGUAACACAUAUUAUAUUAUAUUAUAUUAUAUUAUAUUAUAUUAUAUUAUAUUAUAUUAUAUUAUAUUAUAUAGUCAAAAAUUGAGAUUUUCCACUGUAUAUUAUAUUAUAUUAUAUAGUCCAAAACUGGGAUUUUUCACUGUAUAUUAUAUUAUAUUAUAUUAUAUUAUAUUAUAUUAUAUUAUAUUAUUCAAAACUGUGAUUUUUCACUGUAUCACUCCGCUUGUCCGUGUUCCAUUUUGAACUUGGGUUUUUCAUUGAUUCAUUCUGCAACUAACUUGGUUACGCUAACCGGUUAUGACAAGUGAGGGUUUUGUAUUGAAUGUCUUUUGUAUAAACGAGUUACUGAAUCAUUCAUUCAUUUACUCAAGUAACUUAAUAUUACUCAAGUUAAUCAAUAUUGUAUAAAACCAUACCAAUCAGUAUAACAAUGUCACGCUUUUGGUGCUGCAACAGAACACACAACAGAGUAUGUGGAAGUGGAACGACAUCAAAUUCCUCUCCUUGCUCAAUAAGUUCUGUAAUCAUGUUACUUCACUCCCUCUACACAUUUCCUAUUUCUCACUGGUUAGAGAAAAACACUGCUCUUAGAGUAAGAGAAAACACAGACAUACUAAAAGUGACACAAACAGUGAAAUAUCAGAGUUUUACUAAAUAUGGUCACUGUUGUACCUGUAUUAUAUUAUAUUAUUAUAUUAUAUUAUAUUAUAUUAUAUUAUAUUAUAUUAUAUUAUAUUAUAUUAUAUCAUAUCAUAUAUUAAGUUUAAUAUGAAGUCUAAUAUAAAGGUUAUAACUUUGUAUUUCCUCCCAGUAUUUACAAUAGUUUCCUGUCUCUUCUGUUGUUAGAUAUUGUUUUUUACACAAAUUGGGCUUAAAAGUUUUAAUCAUUAACGUUACAUAGCGGCGCUUGUGUUCAUCUUUGCUUAGUGCUGUAAAUCUUGUUUGCUCGUAGUUCUAAACACUUUUAUAGGAAUUUCUUAUUUAUUUCAGGUUUUUCCAUCCUUGUAGCUCUUUUUAAUUUUUUUGUUUGUUUGUUUUGAGUUAUUCUGAAACUGCCAUUAAACCUAUGCCUUUUACUCAA